Molecule: ribosomal RNA, 468 nt
Filed under: uncultured bacterium
Lineage: Bacteria
Description: partial 16S ribosomal RNA
Rfam family: Bacterial small subunit ribosomal RNA
Source: RNAcentral
GACGAACGCUGGCGGCGUGCUUAACACAUGCAAGUCGAACGGAAAGGCCCUGCUUUUGUGGGGUGCUCGAGUGGCGAACGGGUGAGUAACACGUGAGUAACCUGCCCUUGACUUUGGGAUAACUUCAGGAAACCGGGGCUAAUACCGGAUAGGAGCUCCUGCUGCAUGGUGGGGGUUGGAAAGUUUCGGCGGUUGGGGAUGGACUCGCGGCUUAUCAGCUUGUUGGUGGGGUAGUGGCUUACCAAGGCUUUGACGGGUAGCCGGCCUGAGAGGGUGACCGGCCACAUUGGGACUGAGAUACGGCCCAGACUCCUACGGGAGGCAGCAGUGGGGAAUAUUGCACAAUGGGCGGAAGCCUGAUGCAGCAACGCCGCGUGCGGGAUGACGGCCUUCGGGUUGUAAACCGCCUUCGCCUGUGACGAAGCGUGAGUGACGGUAAUGGGUAAAGAAGCACCGGCUAACUACGUG